RNAcentral lists this ribosomal RNA (369 nucleotides) under uncultured organism. RNAcentral's name for it is "bacterial SSU rRNA". It matches the Rfam family "Bacterial small subunit ribosomal RNA", at positions 526 to 896 of the family's 1533-position model. The record is from RNAcentral.
CGAAGGAUGCAAGCGUUAUCCGGAUUCAUUGGGUUUAAAGGGUGCGUAGGCGGACUGAUAAGUCAGUGGUGAAAUCUCUCAGCUUAACUGAGAAACUGCUAUUGAUACUGUUAGUCUAGAGUAUAGAUGACGUUGGCGGAAUAUGACAUGUAGUGGUGAAAUACUUAGAUAUGUCAUAGAACACCGAUUGCGAAGGCAGCUAACGAAACUAUAACUGACGCUGAGGCACGAAAGUGCGGGGAUCAAACAGGAUUAGAUACCCUGGUAGUCCGCACCGUAAACGAUGAUUACUCGUUGUUGGCGAUAUGACAGUCAGCGACCAAGCGAAAGCGAUAAGUAAUCCACCUGGGGAGUACGCCGGCAACGGUG